Molecule: unclassified non-coding RNA, 377 nt
Filed under: uncultured Gammaproteobacteria bacterium
Lineage: Bacteria; Pseudomonadati; Pseudomonadota; Gammaproteobacteria
Description: contains 16S-23S intergenic spacer region
Source: RNAcentral
UCCGGUUCAUCACCGGCAGUCUCCUUAGAGUCCCCAACUUUACUUGCUGGCAACUAAGGACAAGGGUUGCGCUCGUUACGGGACUUAACCCAACAUCUCACAACACGAGCUGACGACAGCCAUGCAGCACCUGUCUCUGCGCUCCUUUCGGCACCCCAACCUCUCAGUCGGGUUCGCAGGAUGUCAAGGGUAGGUAAGGUUCUUCGCGUUGCAUCGAAUUAAACCACAUGCUCCACCGCUUGUGCGGGCCCCCGUCAAUUCAUUUGAGUUUCAACCUUGCGGCCGUACUUCCCAGGCGGAAGACUUAUCGCGUUAGCUUCGAUACUGAUUGGUUCCCCAACCAACAUCUAGUCCUCAUCGUUUACAGCGUGGACUAC